This 497-nucleotide ribosomal RNA is filed under the name uncultured bacterium. RNAcentral describes it as "partial 16S ribosomal RNA". It matches the Rfam family "Bacterial small subunit ribosomal RNA", at positions 28 to 507 of the family's 1533-position model. The record is from RNAcentral.
GAUGAACGCUGGCGGCGUGCCUAAUACAUGCAAGUCGAGCGAACGGACGAGACGCUUGCUUCUCUGAUGUUAGCGGCGGACGGGUGAGUAACACGUGGAUAACCUACCUAUAAGACUGGGAUAACUUCGGGAAACCGGCGCUAAUACCGGAUAAUAUUUUGAACCGCAUGGUUCAAAAGUGAAAGACGGUCUUGCUGUCACUUCUCGAUGGAUCCGCGCUGCAUUAGCUAGUUGGUAAGGUCACGGCUUACCAAGGCAACGAUGCAUAGCCGACCUGAGAGGGUGAUCGGCGACACUGGAGCGGAGACACGGACCAGACUCCUACGGGAGGCAGCAGUAGGGAAUGUUCCGCAAUGGGCGAAAGCCUGACGGAGCAACGCCGCGUGAGUGAUGAAGGUCUUCGGAUCGUAAAACUCUGUUAUUAGGGAAGAACAGAUGUGUAAGUAACUGUGCACAGCUUGACGGUACCUAAUCAGAAAGCCACGGCUAACUACGUG